GUAGGUUAAAAGAUCCGAUAAAAGAUAGGUUAUAUUGAGAAAUUAGGGGUAAACGAAACGGGGACGAAAGUGACAAUGAUGUGAGAAUAAAGAUGAGAGGACGUGCCAGCGAUAUGUUCACAUCGCUGCGGCGGGAUCGCUGGCGUUUCCACCGAUUAUCCAAUUCGGUCGUCGUCAAUUCGCAUUGACGGGCGGGAGUGUAGGUGUCAAUUUCAGUCAAUCUAUUCCCCCCUUCUGCAUGCAAGAAGCGCAGUAAGCGCGGACCCCGAGAAAAUCCGCGGGCGUGAGCUCGCAUACAACUGAAAAACGCCGGGCGGAGAUUGAUAUGGGCAGCCUCGAAAAGAGCCUCUGACGGAAUCGGCGCGGAAAAGGUUGAUCGUAACAUUCGAGCUUCGACGAGAGCGCGCGUUAAGGAAUUCGCCCCUGAAAUUCGACGUUUGCGCGGCAAUCCUCGGAAAUCGGCUGGCAAAAUUCCACUUCUUACGGGUGGACCACCACCGUGUAGCUGUCAAAAGCAGAUAUCCUCCGGCAGUGAAAAGAGUGACGAGUAUCGUCGGAUAUUAUCGGCAUUCUCUUCGAAUUAUCGCGCAUUUGGAUUCUAUUAGGAUCGCGAACUGGCUUUACGCUGGCGAAUAUCGAGAUACGGCCCGUAAUUCGCGUGACUAUGAAUUCUCAUAGAACCGCGUGAAAAAGUACGGCAAAAAUUAAGAGUACAAAUGCGCGUACUAAAUUCUUUAUUACCGCGGUUGAAAUCGAUUUUCUGGCGUGCACAAAUUUCAUUUUUUUUUUAUUUCCCGAGCGCCGCUGAAUGUACUAUAGUUUCACGACUAACACUCAGCAACCCGCCGGUUAAUUAAGAUUACAAUCGGGUAUCAAGUUAGCGAUUCCCAUUUUUUGAAAAAUUUUUUGAAAGUAAUAAACUGCACUUCGUACAAGAAUACGGCGAUAGGAGAUUUGGGAUAUGCAAUCGUCGUCGGCCGGCGGAAUGCUUAAUUGGAAUGCUUGUCGACUCGAUCGACCCAACGUGCAGCGUUUCGAUAUAAGGCAAUUACAGUAAUUGCGCCAAAGUAUUGGUAGGUUCAUUGGGGAAUAUGUGUGUAUAUUUUAUAUGGUAUAUGGCGAACGCAGAUACAUACGCGCGAUGGGCGACGGUAUUCUUUACAUCUAUAUUCUAAUUAGCACUUGAACAAAUGUUGAAAAUCUGUUUAAAAACUUCAACGUACAAAAUUUAACAGCAGAGAACUCUGCCUUUCCCUCUUUUCGCUCGUGAUAUCCAAAACGCGUCAUCUUACUGCAUCGUUAAGAGUAAGCGUAGUUUGCCGAAGACGACCUGUAUAGCAGCAAUUACCGCGGAAGAUAAUGAAGCCGUCAAUCAAACGGAGUAUUAAUCCGAUUCAUCGAAAUUGACGUGAAUAGAUGAUGAUUUCUAUUGUUAUUGCGAGCGUUCUCCCUCCCUCUCCCCUCUCUCUCUCUCUCUCUCUCUCUCUCUCUCCAUUUCGUAUCUCUACUAUUACGGAUAUUAUCCGUUUUUAAACGCGCAGAAAAGUUUCGCAACAGGAGCUUGCACGAUAAAACCACUGUGAAAAAUACUCGCUGCCCGACGACGACGAUGCAUCAAAUUAACAGCUUAACAAGUUCGCAUCGAACGAUAGUUAGAAAUACCUGCGGAUUAUAAGCGAUUACGGAGAACGAGGAGCAAUAAAAUUUCGAACCAUUUCGCGCAGAUUCCGCGGGAAAUUGCCUUUGUUUACAGCGUAAUAUCAUAUUAAUGGAGCGCUUAAUUAACUGGGAAGUUCGAGUAUUAUGCUCGCGUUAUUUAUAACGGAGAUACUGCGACGUGUUCGCCUAUUUUGUACUGAAAAUGCCGGCUCCCCGCCUUCGAACAGUGCAAAUUUACCCGGAGGGCAAAAUAUUUCGCUUGAUUAUUUAAAGAUAUUCCGCAUCUCCCGUCUUAUGUGUUUCAAGAUUAUCUCGUUCAAAUAGAUUAUCCCGAAAAACCUUAAAUCCGAAGGGAAAAAUACCCGAAAUUAGAAUUUUGUUUCGCCUGGUUGGCAUACCGAGACUAGAUGAAAUAUUUUCGCCUUUCUGGAUUAAGCAAAUUUUGCAACUGUUGUUGUUUCCGUUAAUCUAGAUUUGUUUCACCUCGAUGGAUUUACAUCGUCUUUAUUUCGCCGGCGGUGAAACACAGGCGGUGAUUCUCUCGCGCGCGUUUCACAUUCGCUUCCACCGAUACACAUUUCUCGAACGAAACGAGACAGGUACAGGGGACCGGCCUCGCUCGAUUGUCGGCGGACGAGCCCCGCAGUUUAUUUAGUCUGUUUACCGGAAGAGAUGUAACUGCAUGGAAAAAAAAAUGCAUGGCCCCGUUGGAACGAGAAAUUACAGGUCCGACACCGUCGCUGCCGCGACGUCUCUCGUAAAAUAUGCUUCCCUUUUCACUCUAUCGCGCGACGCGUGUAUUUUACCGUGGACCACCACCGCCAUCACGUGGGACGGAUAAAUAUUUGUCAAAGAUAUUACGAUCGCGCGACGCUACACUUUUUUAGAGCGUACUCCUUAAGUCGUAUAUGGGUAACUCCGGGGCCGGCGUUUUAUUAAAAUUCCUUAAACUUUGCGUUAGCGAGGCGAGGCUUUUCCGUUUAUUUAAAUUUCCAAGAGGCUCUCGGCCUUGCGGGCCGUAUGGUUUUACGAGAAAAAUGCUGAGUGAGAGGAAAGAGAGACGGG
Molecule: long non-coding RNA, 2724 nt
Organism: Wasmannia auropunctata (little fire ant)
Lineage: Eukaryota; Metazoa; Arthropoda; Insecta; Hymenoptera; Formicidae
Exons: 3
Source: RefSeq, a predicted model, not a curated record